GUGCUGGGAUUACAGGCGUGAGUCACCGCACCUGGCCAUAAGGUUGUUUUGUCAAGGAAGAUAGAAACAGCUUAAUAUUUUUGGAUGUGUGCUGUUCUUCCUUUCUUACUUUAUUAGAUAAACAUCCAUCGAGUGCUCCUUCGGUCAGGCACAGUGCUUAGCACCUGAGAUAUGAGGUUGAGUAGGAUAUGGUCUUCUCUAUGUUCUGUAGCUCACAGUGCAGGGAGGGAAAAACACAGAAGCAGAUAACUAGAAUUCAAUGUUGGGAGUGCAUUUAUGGCUUUAUGUUAGAGUAUCACUUCUAUUACUGAAAAGGGAUUUUUAAAAUUCUACUGAAAACAUGAAAAUGAAAAUAGCGCCAUGAAAAGUAGCUUCUAGUCAUAUUCUUUUAUGAUGAAUAUUUGCUUUGCAUAUACGAUUGGCCCAUAUUGCAUCAUUUGUUUUAUAAAUUAAUCGUAUAUCACUAUUCCAUUUUACCGGUAAAAUAGUAGGCUUUUAAGUAUUUUUCCCAAUUAUCACUUACAAAAAUAUUGUUACAGCUUACUUUUUUUGACCUUCCUUUUUCUUUUAGGGUGCUCUUUUCCUUAACAUAGUUUGUUGUUGUGUCUCUGAAAUAUAUUUAUUUAUUAUUAUUACUUUUUUCAGACAGAGUGUUGCUCAGUUACCCAGGCUGGAGUGCAAUGGCAUGAUCUUGGCUCACUGCAGCCUCCACCUCCUGGGUUCAAGCGGUUCUCGUGCCUCAGUCUCCCAAGUAGCUGGGAUUACAGGUAUGCACCACCAUGCCCAGCCAAUUUUGUAUUUUUAGUAGAGGCAGGGUUUCACCAUGUUGGCUAAGCUGGUCUUGAACUCCUGACCUCAGGUGAUCUACCUGCUUCAGCCUCUCAGAGUGCUGGGAUUACAGGCAUGAGCCACCAAGCCCGGCCUGAAAUACAUUUAAAUAAAUGAAGAUGGAGAAUCAGACAUUACUUUCAUUUAUCUGAAUCUGGUGUAGUUUAAUUAAUCUGUAAUUGUAAGUCUUUGAAUCAUAUGUCAAUAUUCUAUUUUGUUAGUCAUGAUUUCUAAGUGUUACAUAACUGUGGCCCCAGCCACUUUAUAUUUUGGUAUCAUGACAGAAGACUCUGAUUGUGGUUAUUUUCUACCUAUGCAUUUAUUCUUAGUGAUAUAUGUUGGUUAAAUUAUGGCAUAGUUUUAAAAUACAUGACAAAAAUAGCUAACAGUAAAGAAAUGUCUUUGUUUCUGGUUGAAUAAACUGACCACGCAAGGUUCCAAUUUAAAAUAAAUUCUAAACGAAUCAUGUUAUUUUCCAAAACUGUUCCUCCUCUCAGUAAAUGAAAUCAAUAUCCACCCGGUUACCCCAAGACAGAAAUCUCAAGAUCAUCUGUGACUCCUUCCUCUUCAUCUGCCACAAGAAGAGUAGCUUCUAUCUCCAAAGCUAGUCUCUGAUCAGUCUACUUCUCUUCCUAUAGCCUCUGCUUUAGUUCAAAUCUAGAAUCCUGCUGUGGUGGUGCUGUGGCUUCCAAGUUCAUCUUCUUCCAAUCCGUUCUCUAAACUACAGUCUUGCUCUUUCUAAGACUCAGAUCUUAUAAUUUUACUUCCCUUCAUAGGUUGAAUUUAACCUGCUAAAUCACAUAAAAUUUUUCUGAAGAUACCAGCCUUUCUGCCUUAAUCAAACACAUUAGCCAAAUCCAUAGCAUUACUGGGAUAAAGCCUGAAGAUCCCAAAUUGAUAAGGCAUCUGGAUUCCCUUUGAUAACAGUAUUCAAUAACAAUGAACACCUACUGAGUAUACUAUUCCAAGCAUUUAAAGUGUAUCAACUCUUUUCACAAAAUCAACAAUAAUUAUUAUUGCUACCAUUUAUUGAGAGUCUACUUUAAUCCAGGUGUUACAUAUUCAUGUAUUCAUUAUUAUUACCUUUUUUUUUGAGACGAAAUCUUGCUCUGUUGCCCAGGCUGGAGUGCGAUGGCAUGAUCUUGGCUCACGGCAAACUCCGCCUCCCUGGUUCAAGUGAUUCUCCUGCCUCAGCCUCCCGAGUAGCCGGGAUUACAGGCAUGUGCCACCAUGCCCCGUUGGCCAGGCUGGUCUCGAACACCUUACCUCAGGUGAUCCUCCCACCUUUGGGAUUACAGCAGGCUGAGGAAUUACCAAGGAGGCAGGAGGUGGAGCAAAACACACCAAGCCUGGUGCCAAUCAUUGACAAUAUUAUGACCCUGCAUGUGAUGGAUCAGCUGACACCAUCCAGAUCGGUAAACUGGUUCAUCUGAUCUUGUGCCCUCCACCCAGGAACUGACUCAGCGCAAGAAGACAGCUUCGACUCCUUGUGAUUUCAUCCCUAACCAAUCAGCACUCCUGGCUCACUGGCUUCCCCCAACCCACCAAAUUGUCCUUAAAAACUCUGCUCUCCAAACGCUGGGGGAGACUGAUUUGAGUAAUAAUAAAACCCUGGUCUCCUGCA
Molecule: long non-coding RNA, 2452 nt
Organism: Homo sapiens (human)
Lineage: Eukaryota; Metazoa; Chordata; Mammalia; Primates; Hominidae
Gene: PCED1B-AS1
Product: PCED1B antisense RNA 1
Source: Ensembl